UAAAACCUGACGUUGAGGACGAAAGUAUAGGGAGCAAACAGGAUUAGAUACCUGGUAGUCUAUACAGUAAAUUCUGAGUGCUGUAAUUUAAGUAAUUGUUUUAGUUAGAUUCAUUAAGCUAACGCUAUAAGCACUCCGCUGAGGAGUAUGAUCGCAAGGUUGGAACUCAAAGGAAUUGACGGGGGCCUACAACUAGUGGUGGAGUAUGUGGUUUAAUGCGAUAAUCCGCGCAAAACCUUACCAAUUUUUGAAUAUAAUUUAAAAAUAAAACUAGCGUUUAUGCUAGUUUUAUUAAAUAAUUUUACAGGUGUUGCACGACUGUCGUCAGUUCGUGUCGUGAGAUGUUUGGUUAAUUCCUUUAACGAGCGCAACUCUUGUCUUUAAUGAGUUAUAGAUUUUUAAUUAAAAUAAUUAUAAAUGAUAUUGCAAAUGAUAAAUUUGAGGAAGGUGAGAAUUAAGUCAAGUCAAUGUGGCCCUUAUAUAUUGGGCUACACACAUGCUACAAUGAAAAUGACAAAAAGUAACAAAAACGUAAGUUUUAGUUAAUCUUUUAAAAAUUUUCUCAGUUCAGAUUGUAAUCUGCAACUCGGUUACAUGAAGGUGGAAUCACUAGUAAUCGCAAAUCAGCACGUUGCGGUGAAUAUGUUACUUGGCCUUGUACACACCGCCCGUCA
This 674-nucleotide ribosomal RNA is filed under the name uncultured bacterium. Its description in RNAcentral is "bacterial SSU rRNA". It matches the Rfam family "Bacterial small subunit ribosomal RNA", at positions 734 to 1399 of the family's 1533-position model. The record is from RNAcentral.